UUUGACAGUUGUUUUGAUUUAUAUUUGUCAUAAUUUUUUCCCUUUUUUUCUUUUUUUAAUGUUUAUUUUUGAGAGAUGGCGAGUACAAGAAGGGGAGGGGCAGAGAGAGAGGCAGACGGAAUCCGAAGCAGGCUCCAGGCUCUGAGCUGUCCGCACAGAGCCCGACACAGGGGGCUCGAACUCCUGAACCACAAGAUCGUGACCUGAGCCCAAGUCGGACACUUAACCGACUGAGCCACCCAGGCGCCCCUGUCAUAAUUUUCUAAAAAGUAGUUUCACUACCUCGUCCGAAAAGAUGGUAGGUUGGAAUGCUGUCACCCUCAUCACACCACUGUAAGCUUGUCAUUCACCUGGAGGAGACACAGAUGAGGGAGUCUGUUUACCGGCUAGAAACAGACCACUUUUCAAGUGUCAGUUUGGUUGGCGGUGCAUGACAAGGGGGUGCGCGGUCACGGGUUUCUGUCCUCCAUCUGCUUCCUGAGAUCCCUGCCUCCUUCCCUCCCACGGGCAGGGCUUCCGUGCAGGUGACGGAGCGGUGAUGGCACGUGCACAUCUGGGAGCAAAGGCGCUCAGUGUGCUGCAGGAUUGGGUGAAAGUUUUCCGAGGCUCAUUAGUGAGCAGUCGUGUACUUUUGCCAAGUUUGGGGGAAGAAGAAAUGUGUGUACCCUAGAGGCCAGGCCCAGGAGGAGAGCACUUUCCCCGCGUUUAUUACAGUGGGACUGUUUCUCUAAUUAGGAGCCUUGGGAACCCAGUGCUGCUACUCUGUGCAGUCCCGCCAUCACAUCAGUUACAAGAGCAGAAGGAAACUAACUCCCAUCUACACCUAAGGGCCCGGAGCUCUUGCAUCUCAUUGCAUUUCCCUGCCGUCCUCCGAUUACACAGUCUCUCGGGAGGGCCUUGUAAUUCCACUCCUACCCAUCUUCAGGUCUCACCGUAGCUUUCCACUGUUGGGGCCUUUCCAGCAGGAGCGGCUCUAUCUUAGGUCAGCUGUGCUUGGUUAGGCUCCCUCGUGUCUACCAGGGGCUGCCAGCUUGGUCCAGUACCUUCACUCAUCACCGUCCAGCAGUCCAGACAAGGCCCGUACCUGCACUGGCUCUUCAAGUCCCUGUCUGUGUCACCUUUGCCUGCACCCGGUUGACCAGUGCAACCACAUGGCUGAGGCCAGAGUGGAAGGUUAGUCAGAGUCACAGAGAAGGGGUGUAGGUACAGGAAGGGGAGGAAAUGGUAGCCAUUUUUGGAGUCACUACAGGGCCAGUGUUUCUACUGGAAGAGUCCAAAUGAGAGAGAAUAGUUUUAGAUAGAUAGUCUUGACAUAUAAUAACGGCACAUGCGUAAACACUUUGGUAAGUUUUAGCCAUUGUGUCCACCUGUGAAGUCAUUACCACAUUCAAGAUGGUGAACUCCCAAAAGAUUUCUCUGUGAACCCUCCAGGCCCUUCCCCCAGGCAAUGACUGGUGUGCUUUUUGUGAAGACAGGUCAGUUUGCAUUUUCUGGAGUUUUCUAUAAAUGAAAUGAUAACAUAC
This 1523-nucleotide long non-coding RNA is filed under the name Suricata suricatta (meerkat). RNAcentral's name for it is "lncRNA (ENSSSUG00005009905.1)". Lineage: Eukaryota; Metazoa; Chordata; Mammalia; Carnivora; Herpestidae. The record is from RNAcentral.